GAUGAACGCUGGCGGCGUGCCUAAUACAUGCAAGUCGAGCGAAUGGAUUAAGAGCUUGCUCUUAUGAAGUUAGCGGCGGACGGGUGAGUAACACGUGGGUAACCUGCCCAUAAGACUGGGAUAACUCCGGGAAACCGGGGCUAAUACCGGAUAACAUUUUGAACCGCAUGGUUCGAAAUUGAAAGGCGGCUUCGGCUGUCACUUAUGGAUGGACCCGCGUCGCAUUAGCUAGUUGGUGAGGUAACGGCUCACCAAGGCAACGAUGCGUAGCCGACAUGAGAGGGUGGUCGGCGACACUGGGACUGAGACACGGCCCAGACACCUACGGGAGGGAGCAGUAGGGAAUCUUCCGCAAUGGACGAAAGUCUGACGGAGAAACGCCGCGUGAGUGAUGAAGGCUUUCGGGUCGUAAAACUCUGUUGUUAGGGAAGAACAAGUGCUAGUUGAAUAAGCUGGCACCUUGACGGUACCUAACCAGAAAGCCACGGCUAACUACGUGCCAGCAGCCGCCGUAA
RNAcentral lists this ribosomal RNA (515 nucleotides) under uncultured bacterium. RNAcentral describes it as "partial 16S ribosomal RNA". It matches the Rfam family "Bacterial small subunit ribosomal RNA", at positions 28 to 523 of the family's 1533-position model. The record is from RNAcentral.